CGCCAGCUCCCUGACUGCGGCCUGCAGCUCCCGGUCUUUGCCCAUCAGCCGCUCGGCCUGUUCCCGGACCGUCCGCUCGGCCGCCUCCAGCCGGCGCUCCAGCUCCGUCAGCCGGCGAUGAACGGCCGCCAGGUGGACUCAACAUUCUGCUCCUUAGGUCUUAUAUCAUCUAAGAUCACAUCAUCAAACUGUCAGAAGAAUUGGACGAGACUUUGGGCAAACAGGUGGAACAUUCAAUUGGUGCAGAUUAUCAGGAAGGAAAUUUAAAGAAAGAGCAAGCAACGUAUUGAAAUCCGUAAAUUGCGCCACGGAUUCAGUAUUGGAGGUGGAAUUGACCAGGAUCCUGCACAAAACCCCUACUCGGAGGAUAAAACAGACAAGGUGGAGAGCAUUCUGACUGGUUGCAUCACUGCCGAGUAUGGAGGAUCAAAAGACGCUGCAGCAGGUUGUAGACUCAGCCAGCUCCAUCACGGGCACAAACCUCAAGGACAUCUUUGAGAGGCUCAAGAAGGCGGCAUCCAUCACUAAGGACCCUCACCAUCCGGGACAUGCCCUCUUCUCAUUACUACCAUCGGGGAGGAGGUACAGGAGCCUGAAGACCCACACUCAAUGAUUCAGGAACAGCUUCUUCCCCUCCGCCAUCAGAUUUCUGAACGAUCCGUGAACCCACGAACACCACUUCGUUAUUCCUCUUUAUGCACCAUUGAUUUAUUUUGUAAUUUAUGCCUUUGCAAUGUACCGCUGGCACAACACAACACAUUUUAUGACAUGUAAGUCAGCAGUAAUAAAUCUG
Molecule: long non-coding RNA, 793 nt
Organism: Pristis pectinata (smalltooth sawfish)
Lineage: Eukaryota; Metazoa; Chordata; Chondrichthyes; Rhinopristiformes; Pristidae
Exons: 4
Source: RefSeq, a predicted model, not a curated record